UACCCGCCGACCGGGACGGAGGCCGGGCGUGACGGGCCCCGGUGCACGCGUGCUGAGCCUGGACUCGCUGGUUCGGAUCCAGCGCGGACGGC
RNAcentral lists this transfer RNA (92 nucleotides) under Streptomyces werraensis. Its description in RNAcentral is "tRNA-Val". Lineage: Bacteria; Bacillati; Actinomycetota; Actinomycetes; Kitasatosporales; Streptomycetaceae. The record is from RNAcentral.